AACGAACGCUGGCGGCAUGCCUAACACAUGCAAGUCGAACGAUGCUUUCGGGCAUAGUGGCGCACGGGUGCGUAACGCGUGGGAAUCUGCCCUUGGGUUCGGAAUAACAGUGAGAAAUUGCUGCUAAUACCGGAUGAUGUCUUCGGACCAAAGAUUUAUCGCCCAGGGAUGAGCCCGCGUAGGAUUAGCUAGUUGGUGGGGUAAUGGCCUACCAAGGCGACGAUCCUUAGCUGGUCUGAGAGGAUGAUCAGCCACACUGGGACUGAGACACGGCCCAGACUCCUACGGGAGGCAGCAGUGGGGAAUAUUGGACAAUGGGCGCAAGCCUGAUCCAGCAAUGCCGCGUGAGUGAUGAAGGCCUUAGGUUUGUAAAGCUCUUUUACCCGGGAUGAUAAUGACAGUACCGGGAGAAUAAGCGCCGGCUAACUCCGUG
This 433-nucleotide ribosomal RNA is filed under the name uncultured bacterium. RNAcentral describes it as "partial 16S ribosomal RNA". It matches the Rfam family "Bacterial small subunit ribosomal RNA", at positions 29 to 507 of the family's 1533-position model. The record is from RNAcentral.